Molecule: non-coding RNA, 1271 nt
Filed under: Faecalibacterium sp. CAG:1138
Lineage: Bacteria; Bacillati; Bacillota; Clostridia; Eubacteriales; Oscillospiraceae
Description: Bacterial large subunit ribosomal RNA
Rfam family: Bacterial large subunit ribosomal RNA
Source: Rfam by way of RNAcentral
GAUUAAGCUAAUAAGGGCAUAGGGAGGAUGCCUUGGCACCAAGCGCCGAAGAAGGACGUGACAAGCUGCGAAAAGCCACGGGGAGUUGCAAAUGAACAUUGAUCCGUGGAUAUCCGAAUGAGGGAACUCAACAGCGGUAAUGCGCUGUUAACUAUACAUGAAUACAUAGUGUAUAGUGGGGAACCCGGGGAACUGAAACAUCUAAGUACCCGGAGGAAGAGAAAGAAAACAAUCGAUUUCCUAAGUAGUGGUGAGCGAACGGGAAAGAGCCUAAACCUUUGGAUAGCAAUAUUUGAAGGGGUGACGGACUCACAUAAUCAAUUAUCAAACAUAGCCGAACACAGUUGGAAAGCUGGACGAAAGAGAGUAACAGUCUCGUAAGCGAAAUGGUUGGUAUAGUGGUGAGUAUCCAGAGUACCACGGGACACGUGGAAUCCGGUGGGAAUAUAGGAGGACCAUCUCCUAAGGCUAAAUACGACUUGGUGACCGAUAGAGUAUAGUACCGUGAGGGAAAGGUGAAAAGAACCCCGGGAGGGGAGUGAAAGAGAACCUGAAACCCUAUGCUUACAAGCAGAUACAGCACUACUAGAAAGUGUGGUAUCGUACUUUUUGUAGAACGGGCCGGCGAGUUACGUUGUGUAGCGAGGUUAAGUAAUUAAGUUACGGAGCCGAAGCGAAAGCGAGUCUUAACUGGCGACAUAGUUGCAUGACGUAGACCCGAAACCAGAUGACCUAUUCAUGGACAGGUUGAAGCAGUGGUAAGACACUGUGGAGGACCGAACCCACGUUCGUUGAAAAGACCGGGGAUGAGCUGUGAAUAGCGGAGAAAUUCCAAUCGAAUCUGGAUAUAGCUGGUUCUCCUCGAAAUAGCUUUAGGGCUAGCCUCUUGUUAGAGUACCGAAGGUAGAGCACUGAAUGGGCUAGGGGGUUUCACAACUUACUGAACCUUAUCAAACUUCGAAUGAAGGAUACUCGAUGCAAGGGAGUCAGACAGUGGGAGAUAAGUUUCAUUGUCGAAAGGGAAAAAGCCCAGAUCCACAGCUAAGGUCCCAAAGUAUAGAUUAAGUGGUAAAGGAUGUUUUGUUGCUAAAACAACCAGGAUGUUGGCUUAGAAGCAGCCACUCAUUCAAAGAGUGCGUAAUAGCUCACUGGUCGAGUGACAGAGCGCCGAAGAUUACCGGGGCUAAAAUCUAACACCGAAGCUUGGGAAUGCGCGAAGCGCAUUGGUAGGGGAGCAAUGUAUAAGGGCAGAAGCCGUAUCGAAAGGGGCG